GCUUGAUAUGGCUCAGUUGGUAGAGCGCACCCUUGGUAAGGGUGAGGUCCCCAGUUCGACUCUGGGUAUCAGCACCA
Molecule: transfer RNA, 77 nt
Filed under: Klebsiella sp.
Lineage: Bacteria; Pseudomonadati; Pseudomonadota; Gammaproteobacteria; Enterobacterales; Enterobacteriaceae
Also listed under: 1 other name
Description: tRNA-Thr
Rfam family: tRNA
About the family: Transfer RNA (tRNA) molecules are approximately 80 nucleotides in length. Their secondary structure includes four short double-helical elements and three loops (D, anti-codon, and T loops).
Source: RNAcentral